Molecule: transfer RNA, 76 nt
Filed under: Limnobacter sp. SAORIC-690
Lineage: Bacteria; Pseudomonadati; Pseudomonadota; Betaproteobacteria; Burkholderiales; Burkholderiaceae
Description: tRNA-Arg
Rfam family: tRNA
About the family: Transfer RNA (tRNA) molecules are approximately 80 nucleotides in length. Their secondary structure includes four short double-helical elements and three loops (D, anti-codon, and T loops).
Source: RNAcentral
CUGCCCGUAGCUCAGUUGGAUAGAGCAUCGGCCUUCUAAGCCGAGGGUCGGGGGUUCGAACCCUCCGGGCAGGCCA